CGUGCCAACGGCAUAGCUGGGUAGCUAUGUAUGGACGGGAUAAGUGCUGAAAGCAUCUAAGCAUGAAGCCCCCCUCGAGAUGAGAUUUCCCAACUUCGGUUAUAAGAUCCCUCAAAGAUGAUGAGGUAAAUAGGUUCGAGGUGGAAGCGUAGCGAUACGUGGAGCUGACGAAUACUAAUCGAUCGAAGACUUAAUCAACAU
This 201-nucleotide ribosomal RNA is filed under the name Staphylococcus pseudintermedius. RNAcentral describes it as "partial 23S ribosomal RNA". It matches the Rfam family "Bacterial large subunit ribosomal RNA", at positions 2725 to 2925 of the family's 2925-position model. Lineage: Bacteria; Bacillati; Bacillota; Bacilli; Caryophanales; Staphylococcaceae. The record is from RNAcentral.